This is a long non-coding RNA of Myotis lucifugus (little brown bat), 526 nucleotides long. RefSeq lists it as uncharacterized. Lineage: Eukaryota; Metazoa; Chordata; Mammalia; Chiroptera; Vespertilionidae. The transcript has 2 exons. The record is from RefSeq and is a predicted model, not a curated record.
CUGAGGGAGGGUCCAGGAGUACAAAGGAAGAAAUGAAAGAGGUGGCAGUCCUGCCAGAAGUGAGCCCCUCGACCUCUAACAGCAGUUUUUAUACCUGGUUAGUGACUAUUCCAAACUCCACAAACACCAUUGUAUGUUUCAGGGGGAAACAGACCUGGACUCUGCCCCAAGGUUCCCAAAGAUACGGGUGGGGCUUGUGCUGAAAUGUGCUCAGGAGAUUACUCAUGUCCCAAGGGAAUGAAAUGCUGCAGCAAUGGAUGUGGCCAUGAUUGCCGACCUGCUAUCCAUGUGGGUGGUGUUUAUGACCCUGUGGAAUAAGAAUGGGGGUGUAAGCCUGCCUGGAGACGAGCCCCAGAAGAUUGCUCAUGAAUCAUGGAUCCAGUGCUUGGCAUAACAUUUUCCACACACCAUUCCUGGCAAGUGUCUAUCCCUUGACGUGCAGUCUCAGAAGAUGAAGACCUAAAGUGCUGGAGUGGCCGAUUCUGAAGAGCUUGUGUCCAAAAUAAAUUUUAUCUGUGGCAUUAUU